RNAcentral lists this long non-coding RNA (952 nucleotides) under Olea europaea subsp. europaea. The record is from RNAcentral. Lineage: Eukaryota; Viridiplantae; Streptophyta; Magnoliopsida; Lamiales; Oleaceae.
AUUUUAAAAUCUCGCACAAAGCAUCCAAAAUCUCAGUGCCGGCUCUAUCCGAUACGAUGGCAAAAUAAUAUAUAACUAUCAUGUCCUUUGCUUUAACCGCAUGAGAAAUAUAUUCGCACUAACUCAGUACAGGGAAGUGUGUAAUCUUUUCAUAUUAACUUGUUACGAUAUCUUCUGCAUAUCUAAACAGGUCAAAGGAAUCCAAAAGCAUGAUCAAUUUUGCAAAAUAUGCCUUGUGUGCGUGAGGUCCAUGAGCGUGUACUCCAUGUUCCACUGUAUCAUGCAAGCACUGACCCGAAUGAAGCGGCUAGGGAACUUUCCUUGGACCAUGGCGUGUUACCGUGCCCGACUAUGAUUGACCCAUUAAUGGUUUUAUCAAUAAAAUAUUCAUGAGUUUGUGUAUCUAACCAACCACUCUGAAGAGUCAAGGUUUAUGCACCUUAGGUGCAUAAUGCGAGCUAAUAUACUUUAACAAAUGUAUAAGGAUUAGUUGGUGAACAAAACGUGAGCAGAUAACAGAAUGAGUUAAAAAUCAAUCAAUCACUAACUGCCACAUAUCACCAAUAACAAGACUCAUUUACCUCCAAGGCCUGAUUAGAAAUAUAUAAAUAGGCAUAUCGAGGAUGAAGAAAUGCAUGCAAGUUUGAAUAGCUUCCUCCAAAUAAUUAUCUCUCCUAAUGAUCUUUCUUGAGCAUCAGAUUAAUGAUUACCAUUUAGAUGUCAACAAAUGGCUUUGGUACGUGCCGCGAAAAUGGUCAAAUUUUACCUAGUUUGACGGCUUGUUUUUGUAAAAUAAAAAAAAAAAAAUAUUAGUUAGUUUAUGUUUAUUUGGAUCUUCUUUUUGUUCGAUCCAAUUCUUGGAUCAAAAUAGUUUGAUUUUUUUGCAAACUUUGGUUCUUAAUUUAUCCGUGGCAUUGAUAGCAUGAUUGUUGGACUAUGGCGUGUAACUGUG